This 257-nucleotide unclassified non-coding RNA is filed under the name plant metagenome. Its description in RNAcentral is "partial contains small subunit ribosomal RNA and internal transcribed spacer 1". The stretch from base 1 to 46 matches the Rfam family "Eukaryotic small subunit ribosomal RNA", at positions 1786 to 1831 of the family's 1831-position model. The record is from RNAcentral.
AAGUCGUAACAAGGUUUCCGUAGGUGAACCUGCGGAAGGAUCAUUAAGAACCUUUCAGCUGACGGUUAGCCCUCAGCGCCUCGCCCUUAAAACCGGCUUGGUUAAACCCAAUGUGAACCAAAAACAACCUAUCGCUUCGGUAGCGGUCCGCGCCCUUCAAACAGGCGCGGGCGGUCAGCCUGCCGGCAGCAACCAAACCAAACCCUUUUUGUUUAAAACAUGUAUGUCUGAUCAAUAUUUUCGAAUGAAAAUUAAAA